This 70-nucleotide transfer RNA is filed under the name Heterotermes tenuis. RNAcentral's name for it is "tRNA-Cys". The record is from RNAcentral. Lineage: Eukaryota; Metazoa; Arthropoda; Insecta; Blattodea; Rhinotermitidae.
AGCCUUGUAUUCAUUUUGUGAUGACAGAAUGCAAUUCUGUAGGGGUGGACUUAAAAGUUUACCAAGGCCU